This is a long non-coding RNA of Mustela lutreola (European mink), 273 nucleotides long. RefSeq lists it as uncharacterized. NCBI's taxonomy places the organism in Eukaryota, Metazoa, Chordata, Mammalia, Carnivora, Mustelidae. The transcript is spliced from 3 exons. The record is from RefSeq and is a predicted model, not a curated record.
CAUACAUAAGCAGAAUCUUGGGAACUCUUUUGGCCAAGAGAUGUCUGCUUACAACGAGGAGACCAGAAGCAUCUCCUUCUCAUCUUGCUCAGUGUAAUAUCAAUGUACAUUCGCAAUCUUCAAUUCACAUCACCAUCCAUUUUGGUUGAGCCAUCAAUUCUGGGACUUGGAUCCUGGAAGAACAUGUUUUCCAUCUAUCAUCCUCCCCUUAGGCAGACAUAGUUACAGAUAGGGCUAAUGGCUAUGAUGUAAGAACCAAUUUUAAUAAAUCUG